CAUCAACACCAUCACCAUCAUCUAAACCAGCAGCUUCCACUGUGAUCUCGGUGUCUGUAAUUCUGCUGCUGCUUCUGAUUGGAAUCAUAUUCCUCACUUUCACUCUUCAAAAGAGACGCAGGAUGCACGGUCACUGCAUAAAACACUCGUGGAACCACGCCAACCACUGGGGAUUCUUAUGGACCAGAAUCAGAAGAUAAGGGUCGUCUCACAGAAGCAAAGGUACGAAGUGAUGGAAUGGCUCGCCAGUCCCGGCCGGAAUACGAAUAUUCAGCAAGGACAGGAUUCAGGAACAAUUUUCACAAAAAAAUAAAAACCCAGCCAAGGAGAAGAAUAAAUCAGGAAAAAAAAUGAAGUUGUUUUUUUUUUUUUCCCAGAAAAGAUUUAUAUUGUAUUGCGUCAGUCUCAUCAAUUCCCGUUCAAACGAGCACACAAUACUGUUAAUUUGUGCAAUCGCGGUUUCUCUCGGUCAAGUUCACUCUCAUUCUACCUGCUUGUCUGCUAACGUUCGGCAAGGGGCGGGACUAACCUUUCACCUCGCCAAUGAGCAAUCGGCUCAAAAAAUUUAAAUUUAAAUUUAUAAAGAAAUUUUCCUGCAUUUUUCUUCUUUCUUUUUCUAUAUAUUUAUACAUUUUAUAAAAAUAAUAAUUAUAUAAAAUGGCAAUAAAAUGCUAGUGACCUAGGUUAAUGACCUGGGUUACAUUAAGUACAACACAUACUUAUUAAUUAUUUCCAGCACCUUUUGCUACAGCAGUUUUACCUUGUCUUUUGGGAGUCUAUCAGUUUAGCACUGACUUUUGGACCAGUUUUGUUAAGCAAACGUGUCCUACUGUAGAUCUGUUAUAUUGUGAGAUAAUCUCCUGCCACAGACACCAAAAAUACUUUCUAUUGAUUACUAUUCUAUUAGUCGCGUUCAGUUUUACGAAAAAAAGGAAAAUUUGUGUCCAUGUACAAGAAUCAAUCGAUUAAAUUUUGUGACUAUAAUCACAAAAUGCCAUGAGUCUGGGCUCCACUGUACAGCACUGUUCAAAUCAUUCCAUGUGUUUUGGCA
Long non-coding RNA from Silurus meridionalis, 1051 nucleotides. RefSeq lists it as uncharacterized. The transcript has 4 exons. The record is from RefSeq and is a predicted model, not a curated record. Lineage: Eukaryota; Metazoa; Chordata; Actinopteri; Siluriformes; Siluridae.